RNAcentral lists this ribosomal RNA (468 nucleotides) under uncultured bacterium. RNAcentral's name for it is "partial 16S ribosomal RNA". It matches the Rfam family "Bacterial small subunit ribosomal RNA", at positions 28 to 507 of the family's 1533-position model. The record is from RNAcentral.
GACGAACGCUGGCGGCGUGCUUAACACAUGCAAGUCGAACGGAAAGGCCCUGCUUUUGUGGGGUGCUCGAGUGGCGAACGGGUGAGUAACACGUGAGUAACCUGCCCUUGACUUUGGGAUAACUUCAGGAAACUGGGGCUAAUACCGGAUAGGAGCUCCUGCUGCAUGGUGGGGGUUGGAAAGUUUCGGCGGUUGGGGAUGGACUCGCGGCUUAUCAGCUUGUUGGUGGGGUAGUGGCUUACCAAGGCUUUGACGGGUAGCCGGCCUGAGAGGGUGACCGGCCACAUGGGGACUGCGAGACGGCCCAGACUCCUACGGGAGGCAGCAGUGGGGAGUAUUGCACAAUGGGCGGAAGCCUGAUGCAGCAACGCCGCGUGCGGGAUGACGGCCUUCGGGUUGUAAACCGCUUUCGCCUGUGACGAAGCGUGAGUGACGGUAAUGGGUAAAGAAGCACCGGCUAACUACGUG